CCUACGGGAGGCAGCAGUGGGGAAUAUUGGACAAUGGGCGCAAGCCUGAUCCAGCAAUGCCGCGUGAGUGAUGAAGGCCUUAGGGUCGUAAAGCUCUUUUACCAGGGAUGAUAAUGACAGUACCUGGAGAAUAAGCUCCGGCUAACUCCGUGCCAGCAGCCGCGGUAAUACGGAGGGAGCUAGCGUUGUUCGGAAUUACUGGGCGUAAAGCGUACGUAGGCGGUUAUUCAAGUCAGAGGUGAAAGCCCGGGGCUCAACCCCGGAACGGCCUUUGAAACUAGGUAGCUAGAAUCUUGGAGAGGUCAGUGGAAUUCCGAGUGUAGAGGUGAAAUUCGUAGAUAUUCGGAAGAACACCAGUGGCGAAGGCGACUGACUGGACAAGUAUUGACGCUGAGGUACGAAAGCGUGGGGAGCAAACAGGAUUAGAUACCCUGGUAGUCCACGCCGUAAACGAUGAUAACUAGCUGUUCGGGCACUUGGUGCUUGAGUGGCGCAGCUAACGCAUUAAGUUAUCCGCCUGGGGAGUACGGUCGCAAGAUUAAAACUCAAGGAAUUGAACGG
This 561-nucleotide ribosomal RNA is filed under the name uncultured bacterium. RNAcentral's name for it is "bacterial SSU rRNA". It matches the Rfam family "Bacterial small subunit ribosomal RNA", at positions 338 to 916 of the family's 1533-position model. The record is from RNAcentral.